GGGAACCUGCCCUGAUGUGGGGGAUAACAGUUGGAAACGACUGCUAAUACCGCAUAACGUCUUUGGACCAAAGAGGGGGAUCUUCGGACCUCUCGCGUCAGGAUGGGCCCAGUUGGGAUUAGCUAGUUGGUGAGGUAAUGGCUCACCAAGGCGACGAUCCCUAGCUGGUUUGAGAGGAUGAUCAGCCACACUGGAACUGAGACACGGUCCAGACUCCUACGGGAGGCAGCAGUGGGGAAUAUUGCACAAUGGGGGAAACCCUGAUGCAGCCAUGCCGCGUGUGUGAAGAAGGCCUUCGGGUUGUAAAGCACUUUCAGCUGU
RNAcentral lists this ribosomal RNA (321 nucleotides) under bacterium PK59. RNAcentral describes it as "bacterial SSU rRNA". It matches the Rfam family "Bacterial small subunit ribosomal RNA", at positions 120 to 443 of the family's 1533-position model. The record is from RNAcentral.